GGUGCGGGCGGGGCUGCGGGAGACGCAGCAGUUGACGCUCUGCCCACGCGUUGGGGCACUAGGGCAACCGCUCUUGUGGGCAGAAGGCCGCGGCCAUUCCAGGAAGAGGAUUUUCUCCGGGAAUUAACAUCUGAUUCUGCAGCCGAUGAAGGACGACACUGGUGAGAACCCUAUGAGGGAGUGGAGCAGCCUGGACUUUUACCACAAGAGGGAAGUGUUAUAAGAGCAAUGCAGAGGUUGGAGUGGGCAGCAGUUGGGGCAGGAGGAAGCCGACUGCUGCCUGGUCUGCAAAGAAGUCCUUUCAAGUCUCUAGGACUGGACUCUUCCUGAGCAAGUCCGACCAGGCUUUUGAAAAAGAGUCUCCACUCGGCUCCACUUCCUGCCCUCCAAUUCAUGCAGCAGCCCACUGAAGAUUGAAGAGCACCAGUGCCCUCCUAUUACUCAGCAGACCUCCUGGUUGCAUUGCUGAUCCUCAUUAAGCCCCCCUUCCCUUGGCUUCCAUCAGCUUGCUUUUUCCUACUUCUCUGGCUCAUU
This 534-nucleotide small RNA is filed under the name Pongo abelii (Sumatran orangutan). Its description in RNAcentral is "processed transcript". Lineage: Eukaryota; Metazoa; Chordata; Mammalia; Primates; Hominidae. The record is from RNAcentral.